UACAGAGGUGCCGAGCGUUAGGCGGAAUCACUGGGCUUAAAGCGUGUGUAGGCGGAUUUUUAAGUACCUUGUGAAAUCCCAUGGCUUAACCAUGGAACUGCUGGGUAUACUGGAUAUCUUGAGCCAACUAGGGGCUACCGGAACAAAUGGUGGAGCGGUGAAAUGCGUAGAUAUCAUUUGGAACGCCAAUGGUGAAAACAGGUAGCUGGGGUUGAGCUGACGCUGAGACACGAAAGCCAGGGGAGCGAACGGG
RNAcentral lists this ribosomal RNA (253 nucleotides) under uncultured bacterium. RNAcentral's name for it is "partial 16S ribosomal RNA". It matches the Rfam family "Bacterial small subunit ribosomal RNA", at positions 524 to 776 of the family's 1533-position model. The record is from RNAcentral.